This 467-nucleotide ribosomal RNA is filed under the name uncultured bacterium. RNAcentral's name for it is "partial 16S ribosomal RNA". It matches the Rfam family "Bacterial small subunit ribosomal RNA", at positions 28 to 506 of the family's 1533-position model. The record is from RNAcentral.
GACGAACGCUGGCGGCGUGCUUAACACAUGCAAGUCGAACGGAAAGGCCCUGCUUUUGUGGGGUGCUCGAGUGGCGAACGGGUGAGUAACACGUGAGUAACCUGCCCUUGACUUUGGGAUAACUUCAGGAAACUGGGGCUAAUACCGGAUAGGAGCUCCUGCUGCAUGGUGGGGGUUGGAAAGUUUCGGCGGUUGGGGAUGGACUCGCGGCUUAUCAGCUUGUUGGUGGGGUAGUGGCUUACCAAGGCUUUGACGGGUAGCCGGCCUGGGAGGGUGACCGGCCCCAUUGGGACUGAGAGACGGCCCAGACUCCUACGGGAGGCAGCAGUGGGGAAUAUUGCACAAUGGGCGGAAGCCUGAUGCAGCAACGCCGCGUGCGGGAUGACGGCCUUCGGGUUGUAAACCGCUUUCGCCUGUGACGAAGCGUGAGUGACGGUAAUGGGUAAAGAAGCACCGGCUAACUACGU